UACGUAGGGGGCUAGCGUUGUCCGGAAUUAUUGGGCGUAAAGAGCUCGUAGGCGGUUUGUUGCGUCGGCUGUGAAAUCCCGAGGCUCAACCUCGGGUCUGCAGUCGAUACGAGCAAACUAGAGUGUUGCAGGGGAGACUGGAAUUCCUGGUGUAGCGGUGAAAUGCGCAGAUAUCAGGAGGAACACCGGUGGCGAAGGCGGGUCUCUGGGCAACAACUGACGCUGAGGAGCGAAAGCGUGGGGAGCGAACAGG
RNAcentral lists this ribosomal RNA (253 nucleotides) under uncultured bacterium. RNAcentral's name for it is "partial 16S ribosomal RNA". It matches the Rfam family "Bacterial small subunit ribosomal RNA", at positions 524 to 776 of the family's 1533-position model. The record is from RNAcentral.